Molecule: non-coding RNA, 65 nt
Filed under: Zunongwangia atlantica 22II14-10F7
Lineage: Bacteria; Pseudomonadati; Bacteroidota; Flavobacteriia; Flavobacteriales; Flavobacteriaceae
Also listed under: 1 other name
Description: Fluoride riboswitch aptamer (crcB RNA motif)
Rfam family: Fluoride riboswitch aptamer (crcB RNA motif)
Source: Rfam by way of RNAcentral
AAGAAAUACGGCAAUGAGGUCUGCCUUAAACCGUUCCACCUGGAGCUAAUGACAUCUACCUUUAA